RNAcentral lists this long non-coding RNA (203 nucleotides) under Elaeis guineensis (African oil palm). RNAcentral describes it as "long non-coding RNA (EGUI_LNC077817)". Lineage: Eukaryota; Viridiplantae; Streptophyta; Magnoliopsida; Arecales; Arecaceae. The record is from RNAcentral.
GGCUUUUCAAAGACUGAUGGCGGUUGGUCGAAGGGUGUUGAGGAGAGAGUAGAGGAAAGAGUAGAGGAGGAGGGACUGUCUUCACCUCCUCGUGAUCACAAGGCAUCUUCUGAUAUUCAGUUCAUGUCUGAUCAUGAGGUUGGUCCCUCAGAGUCAGUGAGGAGGCAUGCUUCUAUACCACAGUCAGGGAGUAGAGUAGAUCC